This 279-nucleotide ribosomal RNA is filed under the name Faecalibacterium prausnitzii. RNAcentral's name for it is "partial 16S ribosomal RNA". It matches the Rfam family "Bacterial small subunit ribosomal RNA", at positions 497 to 776 of the family's 1533-position model. The record is from RNAcentral. Lineage: Bacteria; Bacillati; Bacillota; Clostridia; Eubacteriales; Oscillospiraceae.
UAUGGUAUUGCCAGCAGCCGCGGUAAAACGUAGGUCACAAGCGUUGUCCGGAAUUACUGGGUGUAAAGGGAGCGCAGGCGGGAAGACAAGUUGGAAGUGAAAUCCAUGGGCUCAACCCAUGAACUGCUUUCAAAACUGUUUUUCUUGAGUAGUGCAGAGGUAGGCGGAAUUCCCGGUGUAGCGGUGGAAUGCGUAGAUAUCGGGAGGAACACCAGUGGCGAAGGCGGCCUACUGGGCACCAACUGACGCUGAGGCUCGAAAGUGUGGGUAGCAAACAGG